RNAcentral lists this ribosomal RNA (253 nucleotides) under uncultured bacterium. Its description in RNAcentral is "partial 16S ribosomal RNA". It matches the Rfam family "Bacterial small subunit ribosomal RNA", at positions 524 to 776 of the family's 1533-position model. The record is from RNAcentral.
UACGAAGGGGGCUAACGUUACUCGGAUUGACUGGGCGUAAAGGGCGCGUAGGCGGUUUGUACAGUCAGACGUGAAAUUCCUGGGCUCAACCUGGGGGCUGCGUUUGAUACGUGCGGACUUGAGUUCGGAAGAGGGUCGUGGAAUUCCCAGUGUAGAGGUGAAAUUCGUAGAUAUUGGGAAGAACACCGGUGGCGAAGGCGGCGACCUGGUCCGAUACUGACGCUGAGGCGCGAAAGCGUGGGGAGCAAACAGG